CUGUAGUGAACCCACUUCUGAAAAGACCCUUGGACCAGCCACAGUCAGGAAAAGCUCCGACUGUAGUUAAACCACUUCUGAAAAGACACUUGGACCAGCCACAGUCAGGA
This is a long non-coding RNA of Melanotaenia boesemani (Boeseman's rainbowfish), 110 nucleotides long. RefSeq lists it as uncharacterized. Lineage: Eukaryota; Metazoa; Chordata; Actinopteri; Atheriniformes; Melanotaeniidae. The record is from RefSeq and is a predicted model, not a curated record. The transcript is spliced from 3 exons.